RNAcentral lists this ribosomal RNA (2115 nucleotides) under Triticum aestivum (bread wheat). RNAcentral's name for it is "partial small subunit ribosomal RNA". The record is from RNAcentral. Lineage: Eukaryota; Viridiplantae; Streptophyta; Magnoliopsida; Poales; Poaceae.
AUGGACCUUCGAGAAAGUACAGUGGUAGAAAUGAUCCAAAGGGAUGACAGGUCAAAGUGGUUGUCAUAUAGCAAUCAUAACAUAAAAUGCUUCACAGAGGGUGAGAUAAAAAGAAUUACCAGCAACUACGAAACUAUCAUCGGAAAAGGCGGCUUUGGAGAAGUUUACAAAGGUGUUCUCCAAGAUGGAAGAACAGUUGCAGUCAAGAGAUUUAUGAGUAAUAUAGAAGAAAAUUUUGCAAAAGAGCUGAAAGUUCACUGUGAAAUCAACCACAAGAAUGUAGUUAGGCUCAUAGGCUACUGUGCCAAGGAAAAUGCCCUAAUGAUAGUCAGUGAGUAUAUAUCUAAAGGGAACCUCAGCAAUGUUCUUCACCAUGAACGCAUUCCCAUCACGUUGGAUACACGACUGCGUAUCGCGGCGGAGUGUUCAGAGGCAUUGUGCUACAUGCAUUCACAAAUGUAUACUCAGGUCAUUCAUGGUGAUAUCAAGCCUGCCAAUAUACUAUUAGAUGACAACCUCAAUGCAAAAAUAUCUGACUUUGGAAUAUCAAGACUUGUCAACACAGACUCGACCCUUUUCACUGAGCAUGUAAUAGGGAGCAUAGGUUACAUGGACCCUUUGUUUGCUCGCAGCGGGCGUCUCACCCCAAAGAGUGAUGUUUAUAGCUUCGGAAUCGUUCUGGUUGAAUUGAUUACAAAGAAAAAGGCAACAACAAGAAAUGGGGAAACCGGCAUAGUUGAAUGUUUUACCCAAUCUCUUGUAACAGAGAAGAGAAAGGUGAGAGAGUUGUUCGAUGUUGAAAUCUCAAGCCAGAACAACAUGAAGGUACUUGAAGGGGUUGCAAAGCUAGCAGGACAAUGCUUGAGAAUGGAGGUAGAUAGACGCCCUGAGAUGCGAGAUGUGGCACAACGUCUUCGGGCACUUCAGAAAACUCAAGUUCAAGGAAAACAAACACCAACUAUUUUUCCUUGGGGGUGGAGGAACAAGCCAGCAGCCGGGAACAACUGGCAAUCUGCUAGCUCAGUCACGCCACAAUCUCUCCCAUCCAACUUGUGCCGCCAUUUCUCACUUCGGGAGAUGAAAUCUGUGACAAGAAACUUUGAUGAGUCACACGUUGUUGCUCAGAGUGGAUCUGGUACAGUUUACUAUGGAGUGAUUGAUGGUGGGGCAACCAAGGUGGCUAUCAAACCAUGCAGAGGUGUGAGUAAGUUCCAGACAGAGAUAGCGAUGAUGGCAAAGCUCCGCCAUCAUCAUCUCGUAUCAUUGGUCGGUUACUGCAAAGAGAAAAACCAGAGGAUACUGAUCUACGACUACAUGGCUCGUGGCAGCCUGCGUGGGAACCUUUACGCUAACAACACCGAGGAGCCGCCACUUACUUGGAGGCAGCGUCUAGACGUCUGCAUUGGUGCUGCUCGUGCCCUGCAUUACCUUCACGAGUGUGCCAUCAUCCCUUUUGUUGUGUCGACAACAAACAUUCUCCUAGAUGAGAGAUUGGUUGGCAAGUUUUCAAGUACAGUCUCUCUGCGGCAGGAUAGCACGGAUGUGACCCCCACACUGCAUAUGGGACGUCUGGGUUGUGUCGAUCCUGAAUUUUACUGCACUAGGCAACUAACACAGAAAACCAAUGUGUAUUCUUUUGGUGUCGUACUGUUUGAGGUUUUGUGUGCUCGGGCUGCUUAUGAUCCCUAUCUUCCAGAAAGACAAGCGCACUUGGUAGAAUGUGCCCUUAGUUUCCAGAAGAAGGGCAUCCUUGAUCUGAUUGUUGAUCCCUAUCUUGAAGGAAAGAUUGCUCCGCGGUGCUUGAAGAAGUUUGUGGAUAUUGCUGAGAAAUGUGUUAGUGAUCGUGGUAUCGAUCGCCCUACAAUGCAAGAAGUGCUUGAGAAGCUGGAGAUGUGCCUCACAGAACAAAGCGGAAGCCUUGAUGAUGAGACGCCAGACGAUGAUGACACUAAUGGUCCUUCAAGGACAGAUCGCCGGCUGAACCUGGAGAUGUACCUUGCAGAAGACGAUGAUUCCAGCCAUUGUGGUUUGGUAUCAACCUUCGAAUAUGAUGACAUGGAAUGUGCUUCUGAUGGUGGUGUGGAUUCCGAUUCCGAAUUGCUAAUGCCACGAUGA